Molecule: ribosomal RNA, 584 nt
Filed under: uncultured bacterium
Lineage: Bacteria
Description: partial 16S ribosomal RNA
Rfam family: Bacterial small subunit ribosomal RNA
Source: RNAcentral
GGCCGCGAAUUCGCCCUUAGAGUUUGAUUAUGGCUCAGGAUGAACGCUGGCGGCAUGCCUAAUACAUGCAAGUCAAACGGGGUGCUUGCACCCAGUGGCGAACGGGUGAGUAACACGUAUCUAAUCUACCUACUAGAGAGGGAUAACAGUUGGAAACGACUGCUAAUACCGCAUAAUAUUUUCGGUGGCAUCACUGAAAAUUGAAAGAUCCGCUUGGAUCACUAGUAGAUGAGGAUGCGGCGUAUUAGCUUGUUGGUGGGGUAAUGGCCUACCAAGGCGAUGAUACGUAGCCGACCUGAGAGGGUGAUCGGCCACAUCGGGACUGAGACACGGCCCGAACUUCUACGGAAGGCAGCAGUAGGGAAUUUUUCACAAUGGACGAGAGUCUGAUGGAGCAAUGCCGCGUGAUUGAAGACGGUCUUCGGAUUGUAAAGAUCUGUUGUAAGGGAAGAACAGCUAAUAUAGGAAAUGAUAUUAGUUUGACGGUACUUUACCAGAAAGCCACGGCUAACUAUGUGCCAGCAGCCGCGGUAAUACAUAGGUGGCAAGCGUUAUCCGGAUUUAUUGGGCGUAAAGCGUGCGCA